Heterocephalus glaber (naked mole-rat) is the source of this 710-nucleotide non-coding RNA. The record is from RefSeq and is a predicted model, not a curated record. Lineage: Eukaryota; Metazoa; Chordata; Mammalia; Rodentia; Bathyergidae.
AGUCCAUCAUUAGACAUUUACUUUUGGAGUUAGGCACUGUCCGUUACUCCCAUGACCCCGCUGAGGAGGCAUGCGUAUUCAGUCCUUGUCAUCUCCGUGUGGACUUCAGAUGAAGUGGCAUGAGAACAUGGGGCAGGCACACAGAACUGUUCUCCAUGUAAGAGAAAUGAAGCAGAAGGUGCAGUGAGGGGACCAAAGGCCCUCUCUUCCAGCUUUAAGCCUUUACCUGAGCCUGCCAUCUCUCUUUCUUCUUUCUUCAAUGCUUUUCACUACAUCAUACAUCAACCCUAUUUCUAGUAGGCUACUCUCCACUCCAUUUACAUUUGGAAAGGUCAACCUCUCACUGCUAACUUCAGUCAACACAACCCUGAAGUGAAUGAAGUCACUUCACAAAUCACUACAGAAAGAGAAGCUGUCAUGGAACGCUGAACCUGACUUUGCUGAUCAGGACUGGAAAGGACUACAGAAUGAAGAGCCACGCACAACAUGAGUGGAGCCAGAUGGAAACUAAAGCCCUCUGUUUGUGACUGAUCAGGUUCCAUGGCCACUGAUUAAACCAACCACAUAUCAAAAAUAUCUGGAAAAAAAUUUCAUGUGUACCAAACAUGUACAGAAUUUUUCUUGUCAUUAUUCCCUUAAAAGAUAGCAUGACAACUAUUACCAUAGCAUUUAUAUUUUGUUAAGAAUUAAAAUUGGACUGGGAACUGAAA